This 301-nucleotide long non-coding RNA is filed under the name Sorghum bicolor (sorghum). RNAcentral's name for it is "long non-coding RNA (SBIC_LNC015438)". The record is from RNAcentral. Lineage: Eukaryota; Viridiplantae; Streptophyta; Magnoliopsida; Poales; Poaceae.
GGAGUAAUAAGCAUUGUAGUAUUGCUCUUAUAUAGACUGUGUGGAGUGUCCAUAGGAGCGAAUUAACAUUGCUCUGCGCCACAAGCAAGUACAUGACACUAGCAUUUAGAACAUUGACGUUCAUUUCUUAAUUUUAGAGGCGGGCAGGCUAUCCGUCUCUAACCAAACAUUAUUGUUAAUUGCCAUUUACAGAGGCGAUCAUAAUAUCUUUCUUAAAACUCGAUAAAUGAAGGCAGACACCAUACCUUAAGGUGUUUGUCGCUAAAUGUCAGCCUUCGUUAAUGGUUUCUAGAAAACCCCC